AGGGGCUGCUGUUUUGGGCCGACCUCCUCCUGUGCUUUGGUCCCUUAUUUUCUCGGGGAGGGAUCCAGACCCUUUAGUCCUGCCCGCUCCUCCACGUGGUCAGAGUGGUGCAUCCCCUCAGCCUCCACAGACUGAGGUCCUGCCUGGCGCGCCUGACGCCAAUGCCUGCUCGCUUUCCCUGGGCUCUGAGUCCCGCUCACCGCCUCUCUGGACCCGCUGUCCCUGCAGUGACGCCCCGGGAGCGCUGGCCCUCCCCGCACAGUGCUCAGCUGGGCCCACAGACGGACCCGUUGGCCCCGACGGACGCUGUGCUUUUCCCCCUCUCCGAGGCAAAGUGGAUUUUCUGAGAGAAAUUUGGAGAUGUGGCGGGAGGGAGAGAGCAAGAGACCACCUGCUUCUCUUGAAAAUGCUCUCGGGCACCCCAUUGUGUGCUCAGUUUAUGCCUCUUUUUUUUUUUUCUUUUUGCGGUCACACCUGGUGAUGCACAAGGAUUACUCCUGGCUCUCCACUGAGGAAUUACUCCUGGCGGGGCUCAGGGGACCAAUAGGGAUGCUGAGAACCGAACCCGGUUGGCCACGUGCAAGACAAACGCCCUACAGCUGUGCUAUCACUCCAGCAGCAACACCUUUUGCUGUAUGCAUCCUUUUGUUCUCUUGGCCUGCCAAGUUUCUCUACAGAGUCCAGUGCAAUAUUAUUUUCAUUUCAUAUUCUUUAAGUGUGCUUCAAUCGGGGCCUGAAGCAAGGUUAUAGCAGCUAAGACACUUUGCUUUCACAAGCCCAUAAUAAGUUUGAUCCCUGGCUCUCCAUAUGCAAUGUGGUUCCUGAGCCCUGAGCCAGGAGUAAUCCCCCAGUGCUGCCUGGUGUGUCACAAAGAAAUGACACAAAACAGUCACCGUUACCAAUAUUUGUCAUUCAUUGACUUACUUUGAAGUUGCAUGACGGUCAAGUUGCUCUUCUGAGACUAUGGUUGAUACUUGCAAUCCUUUCGUAGUAUUCAUUGGCUCUCUGAAUUCUAUAUUUACUUAGAAAACCAUCUAUCUAAAUGGGCAGUCUGCUGUUACAUACUAGUCCUAUAAUUUUCUAACUACUGCAGAUACUAGAGACACUCAAACGAAUCUCACAACUGAGCAGCUAGCUGCAGAGAUGCUUCCAGAUUUUGUAAUAGGCCACUUUCACUGGGUUACUCCAGAUGGGAGCAAGUGCUGUCCCUCCGCCUGCCCCCUAGAAAAUCCAGCAGCCGCCAUCUUCCAGAACUCAACAAAAAACCCAGGUAUGUGAGAGCAGUAGCGGCAAACACCACGCCUCACAGGACAGGGGAGGAGCUGGUCCCUCUCCUUCCCACUGCCCUGAUGGGACUCUGAGAUGACACCCACAAAAUGCCCCCGGCUACUUAUUAAGCACCUAAAUGACCAUGAUCCAGAGACAUACAAAUGAACCCCAGAACUGAGCAGCUCGCUGCAGAGAUCUCUCCAGAACCUACAUAUUAAAAGUUUAGAAUUCCAGGAGAGAAGCUGCUUGAUAUUAUAUUGCUUAUUCAUAAUAAGCAAUAUAAAACAAAUUGUCUAGCAUUGCUUUUUCGGCAGGUUUGAGUGGUGUUGGGAAAAUUCCCAAUAAUAAUGUGGCCGAGAUGUGAUCCCGGGGGCCGCACGCAUGUGCGGCCUCUCCGCAGCUGCACAAGCAUGAAUCCAGACCCAGCAAAACCUUUCGGCGUGGGCAACUCCUCGCAGAAUGUCUCCAGCCUGAGAACUAAGCCUCGGCCCCGUGCCCGCCCAGAUGGGGAAAGAUGGAGGGAAUUCAGAGUCUUGAAACCAGUUAUUCAAGAAGCAUUAGAAGAGCUUCUGUAAAGGACAGGAAAAAUUUCCCUUGUGUUUUGAAACUCUGAGUGUGGCUCUCAUUCAAAAUGCUGAUGGUUGCCCUCUACUAGAUUAAGAAAGGGAUGUCCUGAGACCGGUGUGACAUCCUCAGUCCUGCAAUUAGGGUCCCACGUGUGCCUAAUACUUGACGACAGAUGUGUGAUGAUGAUGCUAUGCUGGGAGCCAUGCAGGAUGCCAAACUGUAGGCCAAGAGGAAGAGGAGGAACAAAGGUGCCUGGUUUAAGGGGAGAACAAGACCACAGACUACUGAC
Molecule: long non-coding RNA, 2125 nt
Organism: Sorex araneus (European shrew)
Lineage: Eukaryota; Metazoa; Chordata; Mammalia; Eulipotyphla; Soricidae
Exons: 4
Source: RefSeq, a predicted model, not a curated record